CCUACGGGCGGCAGCAGUGGGGAAUAUUGGACAAUGGGGGCAACCCUGAUCCAGCCAUGCCGCGUGUGUGAAGAAGGCCCUCGGGUUGUAAAGCACUUUCAGUGAGGAAGAACGCCUGGUGGUUAAUACCCAUCAGGAAAGACAUCACUCACAGAAGAAGCACCGGCUAACUCCGUGCCAGCAGCCGCGGUAAUAUGGAGGGUGCGAGCGUUAAUCGGAAUUACUGGGCGUAAAGCGCGCGUAGGUGGCUUGAUAAGCCGGUUGUGAAAGCCCCGGGCUCAACCUGGGAACGGCAUCCGGAACUGUCAAGCUAGAGUGCAGGAGAGGAAGGUAGAAUUCCCGGUGUAGCGGUGAAAUGCGUAGAGAUCGGGAGGAAUACCAGUGGCGAAGGCGGCCUUCUGGACUGACACUGACACUGAGGUGCGAAAGCGUGGGUAGCAAACAGGAUUAGAUACCCCGGUAGUC
Molecule: ribosomal RNA, 465 nt
Filed under: Vreelandella stevensii
Lineage: Bacteria; Pseudomonadati; Pseudomonadota; Gammaproteobacteria; Oceanospirillales; Halomonadaceae
Description: partial 16S ribosomal RNA
Rfam family: Bacterial small subunit ribosomal RNA
Source: RNAcentral